This 440-nucleotide ribosomal RNA is filed under the name uncultured bacterium. Its description in RNAcentral is "partial 16S ribosomal RNA". It matches the Rfam family "Bacterial small subunit ribosomal RNA", at positions 338 to 795 of the family's 1533-position model. The record is from RNAcentral.
CCUACGGGUGGCAGCAGUGGGGGAUAUUGCACAAUGGGGGAAACCCUGAUGCAGCGACGCCGCGUGGGUGAAGAAGCGCCUCGGCGCGUAAAGCCCUGUCAGCAGGGAAGAAAAUGACGGUACCUAAAUAAGAAGCCCCGGCUAACUACGUGCCAGCAGCCGCGGUAAUACGUAGGGGGCAAGCGUUAUCCGGAAUUACUGGGUGUAAAGGGAGAGUAGGCGGCAAGGUAAGCGAUAUGUGAAAGCCUUAAGCUUAACUUAAGGAUGGCAUAACGAACUAUCUAGCUAGAGUACAGGAGAGGAAAGCGGAAUUCCUAGUGUAGCGGUGAAAUGCGUAGAUAUUAGGAAGAACACCAGUGGCGAAGGCGGCUUUCUGGACUGAAACUGACGCUGAGGCUCGAAAGCGUGGGGAGCGAACAGGAUUAGAUACCCCAGUAGUC